GUGGGUAUAGCUCAGUGGUAGAGCAUGUGCUUGGAGUGCAUAAAGACCUAGAUUCAAUCUCCAGUCCUUCCG
RNAcentral lists this transfer RNA (72 nucleotides) under Camelus bactrianus (Bactrian camel). It matches the Rfam family "tRNA". From Rfam's summary of the family: Transfer RNA (tRNA) molecules are approximately 80 nucleotides in length. Their secondary structure includes four short double-helical elements and three loops (D, anti-codon, and T loops). RNAcentral also lists the same sequence under 1 other name. The record is from Rfam by way of RNAcentral. Lineage: Eukaryota; Metazoa; Chordata; Mammalia; Artiodactyla; Camelidae.